GCGCCUUUAGUUCAAUUGGAUAGAGCGUUUGACUUCGAAUCAAAAAGUUGGGGGUUCGAGUCCCUCAGGGCGCG
RNAcentral lists this transfer RNA (74 nucleotides) under Alkalibaculum bacchi. It matches the Rfam family "tRNA". From Rfam's summary of the family: Transfer RNA (tRNA) molecules are approximately 80 nucleotides in length. Their secondary structure includes four short double-helical elements and three loops (D, anti-codon, and T loops). Lineage: Bacteria; Bacillati; Bacillota; Clostridia; Eubacteriales; Eubacteriaceae. The record is from Rfam by way of RNAcentral.